GGAAUGCCCAAGCUUUGAGCAGCGUUUUCAAGAUCUAUUGUUGAUAAUAUAUAAUAUCUUACAAGUUAUUUAAUUCUCUAAUGUAUGGGAAGCAGCGUAGCAUCGUCCUUGCUGUUGCUAUGGUAUUUAUUGCUGUUGAGCCUUCAGGAAACCUCUCUGCAUCUCGGUUUCCUCAUCUAUAAAAUGGAGAUGAUAACUGUACUUACAUCAUGGAGCUGCUAUGAGGAUCAAAGAAGUUAUCAACACUUCAGAAUAUGGCCAGCACAUAGGAACAAUAUAUCUAUUUGCUAAAUCGAAGGAUAAAAAGAAACCUACUUUGUAUGGAAAAGGAGAAAGAAAAGAGUAAGAUUGAACUAUGCUUUGCUGCAUGGUGGGUUUGAUGAAAGUGGAGUCACGCUGAUUGGUGCUCAAGAUAAAUGUCUUAGGGGAAGACUCAUACCCAGUGGAAUUUUUUUUAGUGAAAUAUCGUGGCUCAUGGACUGUGAGAUUUGUCAUUUGUUUUCAAUAAAAUGAUAAAAAUCAUAAUUUAUUUUGUGAAAAAGAAUUUCUAAUGGAAGCAGGGAAAAGCAUAAAGCAAAACAUAUGCUGUUUGGAUUAUAUAUACAUUUUUUGGAAACCUGUGAGUUAGUAAAAGAGUUUUACAAUUCCAGUUUGAAUAGAAUUGGUG
RNAcentral lists this long non-coding RNA (667 nucleotides) under Homo sapiens (human). Its description in RNAcentral is "HSALNT0313237". Lineage: Eukaryota; Metazoa; Chordata; Mammalia; Primates; Hominidae. The record is from RNAcentral.